GGACAAGUGACUAAGUGCACAUGGUGGAUGCCUUGGCGAUAUCAGGCGAUGAAGGACGUAGUAGCUUGCGAUAAGCUGCGGGGAGUGAGCAAACACACAUUGAUCCGCAGAUUUCCGAAUGGGGAAACCCGGCCUUAGGGUCAUCGUAUUCUGAAUACAUAGGAAUACGAAGCGAACGU
RNAcentral lists this ribosomal RNA (179 nucleotides) under Cognatundibacterium luofuense. RNAcentral describes it as "Undibacterium luofuense Bacterial large subunit ribosomal RNA". It matches the Rfam family "Bacterial large subunit ribosomal RNA", at positions 1 to 186 of the family's 2925-position model. Lineage: Bacteria; Pseudomonadati; Pseudomonadota; Betaproteobacteria; Burkholderiales; Oxalobacteraceae. The record is from Rfam by way of RNAcentral.